This 250-nucleotide ribosomal RNA is filed under the name uncultured bacterium. RNAcentral's name for it is "partial 16S ribosomal RNA". It matches the Rfam family "Bacterial small subunit ribosomal RNA", at positions 524 to 773 of the family's 1533-position model. The record is from RNAcentral.
UACGUAGGUGGCAAGCGUUGUCCGGAUUUACUGGGCGUAAAGGAUGCGUAGGCGGAUUUUUAAGUGGGAUGUGAAAUUCCGAGGCUCAACCUCGGCGCUGCAUUCCAAACUGGAAGUCUAGAGUGCGGGAGAGGAAAGUGGAAUUCCUAGUGUAGCGGUGAAAUGCGUAGAGAUUAGGAAGAACACCAGUGGCGAAGGCGACUUUCUGGACCGUAACUGACGCUGAUGCAUGAAAGCGUGGGGAGCAAAC